Molecule: transfer RNA, 73 nt
Filed under: Candidatus Curtissbacteria bacterium
Lineage: Bacteria; Candidatus Curtissiibacteriota
Description: tRNA-Pro
Rfam family: tRNA
About the family: Transfer RNA (tRNA) molecules are approximately 80 nucleotides in length. Their secondary structure includes four short double-helical elements and three loops (D, anti-codon, and T loops).
Source: RNAcentral
CGGGGAUUAGCUCAGUUGGAAGAGCGCGUCGUUCGGGACGGCGAGGCCCGCGGUUCGAGUCCGCGAUCCCCGA